RNAcentral lists this long non-coding RNA (1029 nucleotides) under Anas platyrhynchos platyrhynchos (common mallard). RNAcentral's name for it is "lncRNA (ENSAPLG00000022176.1)". The record is from RNAcentral. Lineage: Eukaryota; Metazoa; Chordata; Aves; Anseriformes; Anatidae.
AUUGUGUUGCAGUCUCUUUUACAAUGCUUGUCUUAAUAAAGAAUAUUGCUUGUUGAGUUCAUCUAAUUUAUUGGGGGGAGGGAGGGUGUUAAUUGGCAUACAAAACACCACAAGUUAGCAUAUGUUUGUAAUUUUUUCUAUUAGUGCUCUUCCCACAAUAGCAAUUUAGAUCCCUCCUAAAGACCUCUAGAAAAUGAUGACAGAACAGCUCAUAUUUUUUUGUGUGUGUGGUGCUAAAAGCUAAUCGGGUGCAGCUCUGUCUUAUUUUUCAUUUGCUGAAUGGUAUUUUAGACUUUCUUUUGUCUUACUAGCAUUUAUCUAAAUUUGAAAGAGGACUAGAAGACGGCAUUUUAAAAAAUGUGAAUGGUUGUGCUUCAUGAACAUGGAGACUCUGGAGAAAGAAGUAUUUUCCCCCUCUGCUUCCUCCACCUGAGUCACUGAACAUCAGAUCCUUCUUUUAUAGCCUUUCAGUUUUGAAUUGGUGCUAUGCUGGCUGACUAUGCAAGUCAAAAGGAUGGCAGUUUAUCCCUUCUGCUGACACGUUCCAUCUUUCUAGCUUGUGAGCUUUUGCAAAGCAAGGUUAUCAGCAAUCUGCUGCAGAGUCCUUCCCACUCAGUAAAUCAAAGCCUUGCUCUUCUCUGGUUCGUUUCCAUGGACAGAUGAUUCAAUCCUCCUUCACUUCCCAGCAGGAAAGCCCGUCAUCCUUGAGCCACCGCCAGCCCUGCCGACCCACUGAGCCCUGCACUGCUGCAACCAUCUUGAUCGGUCCAGAUCCAGCCUGUCCCUCACAGGCAGCCCAUCCUCUCCUCCCCUGCAGCCCCCAUCUGCCAGCAAAACCCCAUGUAUGAGAAGUGGAGAAGGAGGGGCUCAUUUUACAAUGACAUUAAGAAUUCAUUCCCUUAAAUGAGGUAUGUCACCUUGCCAUUUUAACUUGAUUCAUUAAAAUAGUGGCUCAUUAGUUAUUCCCUUGUGUGGUAUAGAAUUUGCACAUUAAAGGCGUAUGCAUUUCAAGUGCUCGCUACAUUCAGG